CACAGCGCAACGACAGCUGGACCAUGCACAGCAUCUGCCUCCAGACAGCAUAUUUCCCCGAUUACCACACCGGUGAAAUAAUUGCCCACGGAUUAAAAGAUGCUCUCAGUUCCUGGGGAAAUUGUUGAAUUACAGAGCCUCAUUAACUUGCGUCAUUAACUUGUUCAUUAAAUUGUUUACAUGCGUUUUUUUAUUCUGAGGACAAUUACAGCAAUAAAGUUACUUUUGACAGUAUAUCUGAUGUCUGCAGUAAUUUUUAAGUGCAUUGAAAGAAAAAAUCGAAAAUCGAAUCGAAACUCGAAUUUUUCUUUAAAAAAUCAGAGAUUUUUCUUUUUUAGACCAAAUCGCCCAGCCCUAGUCCAGGUGUUACCUGAAGGACCCGUGUCCAGGUGUUACCUGAAGGACCCGUGUCCAGGUGUUACCUGAAGGACCCGUGUCCAGGUGUUACCUGAAGGACCCGUGUCCAGGUGUUACCUGAAGGACCCGUGUCCAGGUGUUACCUGAAGGACCCGUGUCCAGGUGUUACCUGAAGGACCCGUGUCCAGGUGUUACCUGAAGGACCCGUGUCCAGGUGUUACCUGAAGGACUCGUGUCCAGGUGUUACCUGAAGGACCCGUGUACAGGUGUUACCUGAAGGACCCGUGUCCAGGUGUUACCUGAAGGACCCGUGUCCAGGUGUUACCUGAAGGACUCGUGUCCAGGUGUGUCGAUGAUCAGCAUGCCUGGGAUCUUCAGGUUGUCCUUGUCAAA
This is a long non-coding RNA of Acanthochromis polyacanthus (spiny chromis), 750 nucleotides long. RefSeq lists it as uncharacterized. The transcript is spliced from 4 exons. NCBI's taxonomy places the organism in Eukaryota, Metazoa, Chordata, Actinopteri, Pomacentridae. The record is from RefSeq and is a predicted model, not a curated record.